UGUAGUGAUGGAGGUAUUUAUUGUAUCUAGUGAUGGAGGUCUGUAUUGUAUCUAGUGAUGGAGGUCUGUAGUGAUGGAGGUCUGUAUUGUAUCUAGUGAUGGAGGUCUGUAGUGAUGGAGGUCUGUAUUGUAUCUAGUGAUGGAGGUCUGUAGUGAUGGAGGUCUGUAUUGUAUCUAGUGAUGGAGGUCUGUAGUGAUGGAGGUCUGUAGUGAUGGAGGUAUUUAUUGUAUCUAGUGAUGGAGGUCUGUAGUGAUGGAGGUCUGUAUUGUAUCUAGUGAUGGAGGUCUGUAGUGAUGGAGGUCUGUAUUGUAUCUAGUGAUGGAGGUCUGUAUUGAUGGAGGUCUGUAGUGAUGGAGGUCUGUAUUGUAUCUAGUGAUGGAGGUCUGUAGUGAUGGAGGUCUGUAUUGUAUCUAGUGAUGGAGGUCUGUAUUGUAUCUAGUGAUGGAGGUCUCUAUUGUGUCUAGUGAUCGAGGUCUGUAUUGAUGGAGGUCUGUAUUGUAUCUAGUGAUGGAGGUCUGUAGUGAUGGAGGUCUGUAGUGAUGUAGGUAUGUAUUGUAUCUAGUGAUGGAGGUCUGUAUUGAUGGAGGUCUGUAUUGUAUCUAGUGAUGGAGGUCUGUAUUGUAUCUAGUGAUGGAGGUCUGUAGUGAUGGAGGUCUGUAUUGUAUCUAGUGAUGGAGGUCUGUAUUGUAUCUAGUGAUGGAGGUCUGUAGUGAUGGAGGUCUGUAUUGUAUCUAGUGAUGGAGGUCUGUAGUGAUGGAGGUCUGUAUUGUAUCUAGUGAUGGAGGUCUGUAUUGAUGGAGGUCUGUAUUGUAUCUAGUGAUGGAGGUCAAGGUGAUGGAGGUCUGUAUUGUAUCUAGUGAUGGAGGUCUGUAUUGUAUCUAGUGAUGGAGGUCUGUAGUUAUGGAGGUCUGUAUUGUAUCUAGUGAUGGAGGUCUGUAUUGAUGGAGGUCUGUAUUGUAUCUAGUGAUGGAGGUCUGUAGUGAUGGAGGUCUGUAGUGAUGGAGGUCUGUAGUGAUGGAGGUCUGUAUUGUAUCUAGUGAUGGAGGUCUGUAUUGUAUCUAGUGAUGGAGGUCUGUAGUGAUGGAGGUCUGUAGUGAUGGAGGUCUGUAUUGUAUCUAGUGAUGGAGGUCUGUAGUGAUGGAGGUCUGUAUUGUAUCUAGUGAUGGAGGUCUGUAGUGAUGGAGGUCUGUAUUGUAUCUAGUGAUGGAGGUCUGUAUUGAUGGAGGUCUGUAUUGUAUCUAGUGAUGGAGGUCUGUAGUGAUGGAGGUCUGUAGUGAUGGAGGUCUGUAGUGAUGGAGGUCUGUAUUGUAUCUAGUGAUGGAGGUCUGUAUUGUAUCUAGUGAUGGAGGUCUGUAGUGAUGGAGGUCUGUAUUGUAUCUAGUGAUGGAGGUCUGUAUUGUACCUAGUGAUGGAGGUCUGUAGUGAUGGAGGUCUGUAGUGAUGGAGGUCUGUAUUGUAUCUAGUGAUGGAGGUCUGUAGUGAUGGAGGUCUGUAUUGUAUCUAGUGAUGGAGGUCUGUAUUGUAUGUAGUGAUGGAGGUCUGUAUUGUAUCUAGUGAUGGAGGUCUGUAGUGAUGGAGGUCUGUAGUGAUGGAGGUCUGUAUUGUAUCUAGUGAUGGAGGUCUGUAUUGUAUCUAGUGAUGGAGGUCUGUAUUGUAUCUAGUGAUGGAGGUCUGUAGUGAUGUUGGCUUUCAGUCGUAUGUCCUUGAAUGAUUCUAACCAUAAUAAUGAUGAUAAAUUCUGUUAUAAGUUAUUUUACCGUCCUGUUAAAACAUAUAUUAGCAGGUAGCAGUGGCGUUGUUGAAUGUAAAUCCCUGCUAUAUUAGCAGGUAGCAGUGGCGUUGUUGAAUGUAAAUCCCUGCUAUAUUAGCAGGUAGCAGUGGCGUUGCUGAAUGUAAAUCCCUGCUAUAUUAGCAGGUAGCAGUGAUGUUGUUGAAUGUAAAUCCCUGCUAUAUUAGCAGGUAGCAGUGGC
This 1971-nucleotide long non-coding RNA is filed under the name Salmo salar (Atlantic salmon). RNAcentral's name for it is "lncRNA (ENSSSAG00000108270.1)". The record is from RNAcentral. Lineage: Eukaryota; Metazoa; Chordata; Actinopteri; Salmoniformes; Salmonidae.